RNAcentral lists this ribosomal RNA (486 nucleotides) under uncultured bacterium. Its description in RNAcentral is "partial 16S ribosomal RNA". It matches the Rfam family "Bacterial small subunit ribosomal RNA", at positions 30 to 507 of the family's 1533-position model. The record is from RNAcentral.
AUUGAACGCUGGCGACAUGCCUUACACAUGCAAGUCGAACGGCAGCACGGGUGCUUGCACCUGGUGGCGAGUGGCGAACGGGUGAGUAAUACAUCGGAACAUGUCCUGUAGUGGGGGAUAGCCCGGCGAAAGCCGGAUUAAUACCGCAUACGAUCUACGGAUGAAAGCGGGGGACCUUCGGGCCUCGCGCUAUAGGGUUGGCCGAUGGCUGAUUAGCUAGUUGGUGGGGUAAAGGCCUACCAAGGCGACGAUCAGUAGCUGGUCUGAGAGGACGAACAGUCACACUGGGACUGAGACACGGCCCAGACUCCUACGGGAGGCAGCAGUGGGGAAUUUUGGACAAUGGGCGAAAGCCUGAUCCAGCAAUGCCGCGUGUGUGAAGAAGGCCUUCGGGUUGUAAAGCACUUUUGUCCGGAAAGAAAUCCUUGGCCCUAAUACGGUCGGGGGAUGACGGUACCGGAAGAAUAAGCACCGGCUAACUACGUG